Molecule: ribosomal RNA, 260 nt
Filed under: uncultured bacterium
Lineage: Bacteria
Description: partial 16S ribosomal RNA
Rfam family: Bacterial small subunit ribosomal RNA
Source: RNAcentral
AGUGGCGGACGGGUGAGUAACGCGUGGGUAACCUGCCCUGUACAGGGGGACAACAGUUAGAAAUGACUGCUAAUACCGCAUAAGCGCACAGGACCGCAUGGUCCGGUGUGAAAAACUCCGGUGGUACAGGAUGGACCUGCGUCUGAUUAGGUAGUUGGCGGGGUAACGGCCCACCAAGCCGACGAUCAGUAGCCGACCUGAGAGGGUGACCGGCCACAUUGGGACUGAGACACGGCCCAAACUCCUACGGGAGGCAGCAG